This 219-nucleotide ribosomal RNA is filed under the name Klebsiella pneumoniae. RNAcentral describes it as "partial 23S ribosomal RNA". It matches the Rfam family "Bacterial large subunit ribosomal RNA", at positions 2724 to 2925 of the family's 2925-position model. The record is from RNAcentral. Lineage: Bacteria; Pseudomonadati; Pseudomonadota; Gammaproteobacteria; Enterobacterales; Enterobacteriaceae.
UCAUGCCAAUGGCACUGCCCGGUAGCUAAAUGCGGAAGAGAUAAGUGCUGAAAGCAUCUAAGCACGAAACUUGCCCCGAGAUGAGUUCUCCCUGAGACUUUAAGUCUCCUGAAGGAACGUUGAAGACGACGACGUUGAUAGGCCGGGUGUGUAAGCGCAGCGAUGCGUUGAGCUAACCGGUACUAAUGAACCGUGAGGCUUAACCUUACAACGCCGAAG